UACGUAGGGUGCAAGCGUUGUCCGGAAUUAUUGGGCGUAAAGAGCUCGUAGGCGGUUCGUCGCGUCGGCUGUGAAAUCCCGAGGCUCAACCUCGGGUCUGCAGUCGAUACGGGCGGACUGGAGUUCGGCAGGGGAGACUGGAAUUCCUGGUGUAGCGGUGAAAUGCGCAGAUAUCAGGAGGAACACCGAUGGCGAAGGCAGGUCUCUGGGCCACUACUGACGCUGAGAAGCGAAAGCAUGGGGAGCAAACAGG
This 253-nucleotide ribosomal RNA is filed under the name uncultured bacterium. RNAcentral's name for it is "partial 16S ribosomal RNA". It matches the Rfam family "Bacterial small subunit ribosomal RNA", at positions 524 to 776 of the family's 1533-position model. The record is from RNAcentral.